This 265-nucleotide ribosomal RNA is filed under the name uncultured archaeon. Its description in RNAcentral is "partial 16S ribosomal RNA". It matches the Rfam family "Archaeal small subunit ribosomal RNA", at positions 718 to 982 of the family's 1478-position model. The record is from RNAcentral.
AGUCAACUGACAUUAGAUACCCGGGUAGUCCCAGCCGUAAACUAUGCGCGUUAGGUGUAUCGGUGACCACGAGUUACCGAGGUGCCGAAGGGAAACCGUGAAACGUGCCGCCUGGGAAGUACGGUCGCAAGGCUGAAACUUAAAGGAAUUGGCGGGGAGCACCACAACGGGUGGAGCCUGCGGUUUAAUUGGACUCAACGCCGGGAAGCUCACCGGAUAAGACAGCGGAAUGAUUGCCGGGCUGAAGACUCUGCAUGACUAGCUG